GCAUAUCAAUAAGCGGAGGAAAAGAAACCAACAGGCAUUGCCUUAGUAACGGCGAGUGAAGCGGCAACAGCUCAAAUUUGAAAGCUGGCCCUUUUAGGGUCCGCAUUGUAAUUUGUAGAGGAUGAUUCGGCGAGGGCUCCUGCCUAAGUCCCCUGGAACGGGGCGUCAUAGAGGGUGAGAAUCCCGUAUGCGGUAGGUUGCCUUAGCCAUGUGAAUCUCCUUCGACGAGUCGAGUUGUUUGGGAAUGCAGCUCUAAAUGGGAGGUAAAUUUCUUCUAAAGCUAAAUACCGGCCAGAGACCGAUAGCGCACAAGUAGAGUGAUCGAAAGAUGAAAAGCACUUUGGAAAGAGAGUUAAAAAGUACGUGAAAUUGUUGAAAGGGAAGCGCUUGCAACCAGACUUGUCCGCAGUUGCUCAGCCGGUCUCCUGACCGGCGUACUCUUCUGCGGCCAGGCCAGCAUCAGUUCGGGCGGUCGGAUAAAGGCCUCGGGAAUGUGGCUCCUCUCGGGGAGUGUUAUAGCCCGGGGUGCAAUGCGGCCAGCCUGGACUGAGGAACCGCUUCGGCAAGGAUGCUGGCGUAAUGGUUGUAAGCGGCCCGUCUGAAACACGGACCAA
RNAcentral lists this ribosomal RNA (614 nucleotides) under Fungal sp. bms2. RNAcentral's name for it is "eukaryotic LSU rRNA". It matches the Rfam family "Eukaryotic large subunit ribosomal RNA", at positions 38 to 669 of the family's 3401-position model. Lineage: Eukaryota; Fungi. The record is from RNAcentral.